RNAcentral lists this ribosomal RNA (253 nucleotides) under uncultured bacterium. RNAcentral describes it as "partial 16S ribosomal RNA". It matches the Rfam family "Bacterial small subunit ribosomal RNA", at positions 524 to 776 of the family's 1533-position model. The record is from RNAcentral.
UACGAAGGGGGCUAGCGUUGUUCGGAAUUACUGGGCGUAAAGGGCUCGUAGGCGGCCAACUAAGUCAGACGUGAAAUCCCUCGGCUUAACCGGGGAACUGCGUCUGAUACUGGAUGGCUUGAGGUUGGGAGAGGGAUGCGGAAUUCCAGGUGUAGCGGUGGAAUGCGCAGAUAUCAGGAGGAACACCAAUGGCGAAGGCAGAUCUCUGGGCCGUAACUGACGCUGAGGAGCGAAAGCAUGGGGAGCGAACAGG